RNAcentral lists this ribosomal RNA (218 nucleotides) under Paenibacillus cremeus. RNAcentral describes it as "Paenibacillus sp. JC52 partial 16S ribosomal RNA". It matches the Rfam family "Bacterial small subunit ribosomal RNA", at positions 1326 to 1533 of the family's 1533-position model. The record is from RNAcentral. Lineage: Bacteria; Bacillati; Bacillota; Bacilli; Caryophanales; Paenibacillaceae.
UCGGAAUUGCUAGUAAUCGCGGAUCAGCAUGCCGCGGUGAAUACGUUCCCGGGUCUUGUACACACCGCCCGUCACACCACGAGAGUUUACAACACCCGAAGUCGGUGGGGUAACCCGCAAGGGAGCCAGCCGCCGAAGGUGGGGUAGAUGAUUGGGGUGAAGUCGUAACAAGGUAGCCGUAUCGGAAGGUGCGGCUGGAUCACCUCCUUUCUAUGGAG